AGUGAACGCUGGCGGCGUGCCUAAUACAUGCAAGUCGAACGGAGUGGCGCACGGGUGAGUAAUGUAUAGCUAAUCUGCCCUACACUAGAGGACAACAGUUGGAACCGACUGCUAAUACUCUAUAGUGUAGGAUGAGGCUAUAUUGUAUCAGCUAGUUGGUGAGGUAAUGGCUCACCAAGGGUAUGACGCAUAACUGGUCUGAGUGGAUGAUCAGUCACACUGGAACGGAGACACGGUCCGGACUCCUACGGGAGGCAGCAGUAGGGAAUAGUGCUCAAGGGGGGAAACCCUGAAGCAGCAACGCCUCGUGGAGGAGUAUACGUUUCGGAGCGUAAACUCCUUUUGUUAGGGAAGCGUUACCUAACGAAUAAGCACCGGCUAACUCCGUGCCAGCAGCCGCGAUAAUUC
This 408-nucleotide ribosomal RNA is filed under the name uncultured bacterium. RNAcentral's name for it is "partial 16S ribosomal RNA". It matches the Rfam family "Bacterial small subunit ribosomal RNA", at positions 29 to 526 of the family's 1533-position model. The record is from RNAcentral.